This 460-nucleotide ribosomal RNA is filed under the name uncultured bacterium. Its description in RNAcentral is "partial 16S ribosomal RNA". It matches the Rfam family "Bacterial small subunit ribosomal RNA", at positions 338 to 795 of the family's 1533-position model. The record is from RNAcentral.
CCUACGGGUGGCAGCAGUGAGGAAUAUUGGUCAAUGGACGAGAGUCUGAACCAGCCAAGUAGCGUGAAGGAUGACUGCCCUAUGGGUUGUAAACUUCUUUUAUAUGGGAAUAAAAUGUUCCACGUGUGGGCUUUUGUAUGUACCCUAUGAAUAAGGAUCGGCUAACUCCGUGCCAGCAGCCGCGGUAAUACGGAGGAUCCGAGCGUUAUCCGGAUUUAUUGGGUUUAAAGGGAGCGUAUGUGGAUUUUUAAGUCAGUUGUGAAAGUUUGCGGCUCAACCGUAAAAUUGCAGUUGAAACUGGCAGUCUUGAGUACAGUAGAGGGGGGCGGAAUGCGUGGUGUAGCGGUGAAAUGCUUAGAUAUCACGAAGAACUCCGAUUGCGAAGGCAGCUCACUGGACUGCAACUGACACUGAGGCUCGAAAGUGUGGGUAUCAAACAGGAUUAGAUACCCUUGUAGUC